UCAUUAUAGAUGCUUGUGAGCCACCAUGUGGUUGCUGGUACUUGAACUCGGGUCCUCUGAAAGAGCAGCCAGUGCUCUUAACCUCUGAGUCAUCUCUCCAGCCCCCCCCCCACCCCAACUCAGUUCUGUAGAAGGGGAAUCAGGAACAAAGAUAGGGCAGUAGAUGCCCCAAGGUCAUAUUAACUCAGGGUCCAAAAUGGCUGUUUGAGUGCCAGCUACUGCACCCAUACUCCAUCUGGCAGGAAAGAAUAGUGUAUCAGGACACCAUCAUUCCCAGAAAUCUGGAAGUAUCCCUUUACCUGAUUCAUUCUUCUCUGCUUAUGACGGAAACUGUCGUCUCCCUAGAAAUCUCUUCUAGCUGUACUCAAGGAUGCCUAGUGUAAACCUUGUCCAGUCUCCCUUGCAGCUAGGUGUGGCCUUGUGACCAAGUUCUACCCAAUGGGCAAUAAGAGGAAGUACAGACAUCUUUGAUUGCCCAGGGUUGGUCUAUGAGAGUACUGUGUGCCAAACAGCUGAAACAGCUUAGGUAAGGCAGACCAGGUUCAAUUCAUUCACAACAAUUUCAACUCUAAUGAUGGGUUUGCUGGUGUGUGACCUUACUCUUGGUGGAGGAGCAGCCCCACUUUGUCUUUAAAGUUUAGGUGCGUCCUUCUGCCCUCACUUCCUGUUUUCAGGUGGAGUGUGGGUGUGAUGGCUGGCACAAAGCAUCCACUUUGGACUCUAGGUCGACACACUCAGAGUAGUGAGGCAACAGACUCAAGGAACUUGGCCCCAGUUUCAAGGAGCUGUUCCUAAUAGUCCCCCCCCCCUCUCUCAAGAAGGGAGAAACAAAGUUCAAUUUUGGAUUUGAUUAUAAAUUCCUUGCAGGCAAGAUGGUGUCUCUCCCCCCCCCCCCCUGCCGUCCCCAGGGUCAGCCAGGGUCUUGAACAUCUUGGAAGCCAGAAAAGCAGCCAGCAAAGAAGUGAGGCAUGAGGACCUCAAGAAGUGAUGGACAUUACCUACCAUUAUUCACAUAAAGACCCAGUUGUCCCACACACAUACCUGUGUGACUUUGGGCAAAUGACCAAAGCCUCUUUUCACUGUGUGUAUAACAGGGAGGUACCUAGGCUUACCUGGUGAUCUUGGGCAGGGUGACCAGCUUUCCUUCCUUGAUGGCAGCAUGGAAGCUGUGGGCGCCAAAGGUCUCCAUGGCAAUGAUGGGCACAUCCUCCCAGCCCACCUCUUGCAGCCCCUGGACUACUCCGCACAUCAGGCCCCCGCCGCCCACUGAUAGCACAAUGGCUCCAGGCUUGGCACUCAGCGUUUCCUUCAGUUCCUUCACGAUGGAAGUAUGGCCUUCCCUGGGCAGGAGAAGGGUGGCAGGUCAGGGAUGGACUUCCUGAAGAUACAAUGGAUGGCUGAAGAUGCCAGAUAAGUCACCCCCAGAUGAGCUGAUCUCCCCAACUCUGUGUCUGGAGACACCCCACCCCCCACCCCCAUUGCUGAUGUGUGCAUCUGGGUCUUUGUGUGUUCUCUCCUGCAUAAAUUGGGUGUGCAGCAUGGAGAAUCAGCAGGCAUUACACAUUAUGGCAGAGCCUUGGCCAGUUGGAUGGCCUCAUCCAACAUCUGCAGGGCAAUAGGAGCAGAAAGAGAAUGAAAUGACGAGGACUCUGCCCAGAUGUCAGGAGCCCUCUCAGCCCUGCCACCUGCCAUCUGCCGGUCCGCACUCACCUCUCCCACCACUUCAACUGUGGCGCCUUCACUCUUGAGCCGCUCGAUGGUGAGGGCAGGUGUGGUGCUGGGUACGACGAUAGUGGCUGGGAUGCCCAGCCUUCUGGCAGCAUAAGCAGUUGCCAUGCCCGCGUUGCCCGCUGUCAGGGUGGCAAUGGAGAGGGCGUCGGUAAGGAGGGUCUGCGGCCCCAGGUGGGGCGGAUCAUUCCCUUCCUGUCAGGCUCUGGACUCCCCUCUCCUCCCAAGUGACCUCUGCCUCAUCCUGGAACCCCAAAUCUGGACUUCUAUGAAUGGGCUUACUGCUGCAGAGACCAGGGCCCAGAGAGGUGAUGUGCCUGGCCUCAGGACACACAGUCCAGGAUAGGAAGGGAAAGAAAGCCUCUUGAUUACUUACCUGAAGAGCAGACAAAAUGUUUACAGCCUUGUUCUGCCUUCUGUGGAGACAAGAGGAGAGGUCAGACUAUCUCUCGGUCCCUCCCACUGGAACAUCUUCAAUCCACAUCGAACCCACCUUUCUCCUCUUGGCAUCUGAACCUCCCUCCCUCAGGCGUAUCUUCCCCCAAGGAGACUGGCUGGGGCAAGGGGGCAGGUGUCAAUCUUGAGGGACUCUCAUGGGUUGGCACCCCUUUGCCAGAGGGAAUCCUGAUAUGUAUAGCCUAUUCUGAAAUUAUUUUCUGUUUAGAAAGAUUGUACUUAUUUAAGAUUUUAUUUAUGCAUAUUCAGAGGGCAGAAGACAGCAUCAGAUGCCCUGGAGCUGGAGUUAGAGGUGAGACACCAACUUGGAUGCUGAGAGCGAGGCUCUGAAAGAGCCUCAAGUGUUCCUAACUGCUUAGGUAUCUCUCCCAAUAUUUAUUUCUUUUUAAAUUAUAUGCACAUGGGUGUAAUUGCUCUUGGAGAUCAUAGAGGGCGUCAAAAUCCCCUGGAACUGGAGUUACAGGUAAUUGUAAGCCACCAUGUGAUUGCUGGGAUCUGA
Molecule: non-coding RNA, 2683 nt
Organism: Cricetulus griseus (Chinese hamster)
Lineage: Eukaryota; Metazoa; Chordata; Mammalia; Rodentia; Cricetidae
Source: RefSeq, a predicted model, not a curated record